CAAUAGCGUAUAUUAAAGUUGUUGCAGUUAAAAAGCUCGUAGUUGAAUUUCUGGUGGGCGCGCCGGUCUUCCAAGUGUUGUACUGGGCGCAGUCCGCCAUCCUUGUGGAGAGGGCUCGCAUUGAGUUGCGUGUCGGAUCUGCAUCAUUUACUGUGAAAAAAUUAGAGUGUUUAAAGCAGGCUGUCGCUUGAAUACAUUAGCAUGGAAUAAUAAGAUAGGACUUCGGUCUAUUUUGUUGGUUGCGAACCGAGGUAAUGAUUAAUAGGGAUAGUUGGGGGUAUUCAUAUUUAAUUGUCAGAGGUGAAAUUCUUGGAUUUAUGAAAGAUGAACAACGGCGAAAGCAUUUACCAAGGAUGUUUNCAUUAA
Molecule: ribosomal RNA, 366 nt
Filed under: uncultured eukaryote
Lineage: Eukaryota
Description: partial 18S ribosomal RNA
Rfam family: Eukaryotic small subunit ribosomal RNA
Source: RNAcentral